This 90-nucleotide transfer RNA is filed under the name Symbiopectobacterium purcellii. RNAcentral's name for it is "Candidatus Symbiopectobacterium sp. SyEd1 tRNA-Ser". It matches the Rfam family "tRNA". Rfam says of the family: Transfer RNA (tRNA) molecules are approximately 80 nucleotides in length. Their secondary structure includes four short double-helical elements and three loops (D, anti-codon, and T loops). The record is from RNAcentral. Lineage: Bacteria; Pseudomonadati; Pseudomonadota; Gammaproteobacteria; Enterobacterales; Enterobacteriaceae.
GGAGAGGUGCCAGAGCGGCUGAAUGGAGCGGUCUCGAAAACCGGAGUAGGGGCAACUCUACCGAGGGUUCAAAUCCCUCCCUCCCCGCCA